AUUGAACGCUGGCGGCGUGCUUAACACAUGCAAGUCGAUCGGUAACAGGUGUAGCAAUACAUGCUGACGAGAGGCGGACGGGUGAGUAAUGCUUGGGAAUCUGCCUAUUAGUGGGGGACAACCCGGGGAAACUCGGGCUAAUACCGCAUACGCUCUACGGAGGAAAGCCGGGGACCGCAAGGCCUGGCGCUAAUAGAUGAGCCCAAGUCGGAUUAGCUAGUUGGUAGGGAACGGCCUACCAAGGCGACAAUCCGUAGCUGGUCUGAGAGGACGACCAGCCACACCGGAACUGAGACACGGUCCGGACUCCUACGGAGGCAGCAGUGGGGAAUAUUGGACAAUGGGGCAACCCUGAUCCAGCGACGCCGCGUGGGUGAAGAAGGCC
Molecule: ribosomal RNA, 385 nt
Filed under: uncultured bacterium
Lineage: Bacteria
Description: bacterial SSU rRNA
Rfam family: Bacterial small subunit ribosomal RNA
Source: RNAcentral